RNAcentral lists this transfer RNA (73 nucleotides) under Oenococcus oeni. RNAcentral describes it as "tRNA-Val". It matches the Rfam family "tRNA". From Rfam's summary of the family: Transfer RNA (tRNA) molecules are approximately 80 nucleotides in length. The record is from RNAcentral. RNAcentral also lists the same sequence under 43 other names. Lineage: Bacteria; Bacillati; Bacillota; Bacilli; Lactobacillales; Lactobacillaceae.
GGACGCUUAGCUCAGCUGGGAGAGCAUCUGCCUUACAAGCAGGAGGUCACAGGUUCGAUCCCUGUAGCGUCCA